This 497-nucleotide ribosomal RNA is filed under the name uncultured bacterium. RNAcentral's name for it is "partial 16S ribosomal RNA". It matches the Rfam family "Bacterial small subunit ribosomal RNA", at positions 28 to 507 of the family's 1533-position model. The record is from RNAcentral.
GAUGAACGCUGGCGGCGUGCCUAAUACAUGCGAGUCGAGCGAACGGACGAGAAGCUUACUUCUCUGAUGUUAGCGGCGGACGGGUGAGUAACACGUGGAUAACCUACCUAUAAGACUGGGAUAACUUCGGGAAACCGGAGCUAAUACCGGAUGAUAUUUUGAACCGCAUGGUUCAAAAGUGAAAGACGGUCUUGCUGUCACUUAUAGAUGGAUCCGCGCUGCAUUAGCUAGUUGGUAAGGUAACGGCUUACCAAGGCAACGAUGCCUAGCCGACCUGAGAGGGUGAUCGGCCACACUGGAACUGAGACACGGUCCAGACUCCUACGGGAGGCAGCAGUAGGGAAUCUUCCGCAAUGGGCGAAAGCCUGACGGAGCAACGCCGCGUGAGUGAUGAAGGUCUUCGGAUCGUAAAACUCUGUUAUUAGGGAAGAACAUAUGUGUAAGUAACUGUGCACAUCUUGACGUUACCUAAUCAGAAAGCCACGGCUAACUACGUG